CCUACGGGAGGCAGCAGUGAGGAAUAUUGGUCAAUGGGCGGACGCCUGAACCAGCCAAGUCGCGUGAGGGAAGACGGCCCUAGGGGUGGUAAACCUCUUUUGUCAGGGAGCAACGCCGGCUACGUGUAGCCGGACUGAGAGAACCUGAAGAAAAAGCAUCGGCAAACUCCGUGCAAGCAACCGCGGUAUUACGGAGGAGGCGAGCGUGAGCCGGUUUUAUUGGGUUUAAGGGUGGCGCGGGCGGUCUGUUAGGUCAGGGGGAAAAGCCCGGGGCCAACCCCGGGCCCGCCGUUGAAACUGGCAGUCUCGAGUGGGAGAGAAGCAUGCGGAAUGCGCGGUGUAGCGGUGAAAUGCAUAGAUAUCGCGCAGAACUCCGAUUGCGAAGGCAGCAUGCCGGCUCCACACUGACGCUGAGGCACGAAAGCGUGGGUAUCGAACAGGAUUAGAUACCCUUGUAGUC
Molecule: ribosomal RNA, 460 nt
Filed under: uncultured bacterium
Lineage: Bacteria
Description: partial 16S ribosomal RNA
Rfam family: Bacterial small subunit ribosomal RNA
Source: RNAcentral